This is a long non-coding RNA of Eriocheir sinensis (Chinese mitten crab), 961 nucleotides long. RefSeq lists it as uncharacterized. The transcript has 4 exons. Lineage: Eukaryota; Metazoa; Arthropoda; Malacostraca; Decapoda; Varunidae. The record is from RefSeq and is a predicted model, not a curated record.
GACCGAGACCUUUUCUUUACGCCUUGGCCACGGGGCAGGGAGGACCUCGAACACGUGCUCCUGAAGGUCCUGAGUGGUGGACAAGGCUGCAUAUCCACAACACCUCAGCCCUUCUAUUAGGACUUUGUAACACUUGGGUGCUACUUCAAAGGCCCAUUAUAUGCCUAAGUCUUGCGUGCUGGAUGAGGCUGCCUGUCAACUACCUCAGCACCUCCUGUGAGGACUGGUGACAAGUUAUGUUCCUGUGGUCCAUUAUAUGCUCAAGUCUUGAGUGCUGGAUGAGGCUACCUAUCAACUACCUCAGCACCUCUUGUGAGGACGGGUGACAAGUUAUUUAUAAAAAUGGAAAGUACGGAGCAGAACAAAAAUGAAGUAGAGCAGUGUGCACAGCCCUCAUCACGUGCUACUGCAAAAAGAAAGUAUGAGUGCACAACCUGUGGGAAGCAGAUGAUCAAGAAGAGUCACCUUACUGCCCACAUGUCCAUCCAUACAGGUGCCAAGAAGUUCAAAUGUGAUGAGUGUGGAAAGCGAUUCAAUCAGAUGGGAAACUUAAACUUGCAUACUCUCACCCACACACUAGAGAGAAACUUUAAAUGUGAAGUAUGUAAUAAGACAUAUACUUUAAAGGGUGACCUUAAGAAACAUCUUCUAAUUCAUGAAGGUAAAAAAGAGUUUGUGUGUGGUAAAUGUAAAAGAUCCUUCACACAGAAAUGUAGCCUAAAAACACACAUGAGAAUACACAUGCAAGUGCCAAAACAAUUUAAAUGUAUCGAAUGUGGUAAAGAGUUCUCUCAUAAAAUGAGCCUAAUUUUACACAUGCGGAUCCACACCGAUUCAAAAAAAUUUCAAUGUGAUAAUUGUGAAGGUCUCUACAAGUCAAAGAAUUCUCUUCAAGACCACCUCAUAAAUCGCUGUUUCAAAGGGGAAAGUUAAGGAAAUAAAAUAUAUAAAAAAUUCAAAA